RNAcentral lists this unclassified non-coding RNA (213 nucleotides) under uncultured Hygrophoraceae. RNAcentral's name for it is "sequence contains ITS1". Lineage: Eukaryota; Fungi; Basidiomycota; Agaricomycetes; Agaricales; Hygrophoraceae. The record is from RNAcentral.
CUGAAGUGAUUUGGGGAUGUUGCUGGCCCCUUCUCAGGGGCAAAUGUGCACUCCCUGAACAAUUCACAAUUUCCAUCACACCCUUGUGCAUAUUAUGUAGGCGCCCCCCUCUCCUCUCCAUGGGGUUGGGUGGUCCUAUGUAUUCUAUCAUCUCACACUUUUUUUGAAUGGUGCUCUCGAAUGCAUCUUAUGGAUUAUUUAUAAUCGUAGAAA